UCGACUAUAGCAAACUUUUAA
RNAcentral lists this non-coding RNA (21 nucleotides) under Caenorhabditis elegans. Lineage: Eukaryota; Metazoa; Nematoda; Chromadorea; Rhabditida; Rhabditidae. The record is from RNAcentral.